GACGAACGCUGGCGGCGUGCUUAACACAUGCAAGUCGAACGGUGAAGCGCUUGCCUUUUUGGUGGGUGUGGAUGAGUGGCGAACGGGUGAGUAACACGUGAGUAACCUGCCCUCUUCUUCUGGAUAACCUCAUGAAAGUGGGGCUAAUACGGGGUAUUCCGGGUCUGUCGCAUGGCGGGUUUGGGAAAGAUUGCGCCUUUGGGUGUUUUCGGUGGGGGAUGGGCUCGCGGCCUAUCAGCUUGUUGGUGGGGUGAUGGCCUACCAAGGCGGUGACGGGUAGCCGGCCUGGGGGGGUGGACGGCCACAAUGGGACUGCGACCCGGCCCAGACUCCUGCGGGAGGCAGCAGUGGGGAAUAUUGCACAAUGGGCGCAAGCCUGAUGCAGCGACGCCGCGUGAGGGAUGGAGGCCUUCGGGUUGUGAACCUCUUUCGCCAGUGAAGCAGGCCUGCUCCUGGGUGGGUGGGUUGACGGUAGCUGGAUAAGAAGCGCCGGCUAACUACGU
This 503-nucleotide ribosomal RNA is filed under the name uncultured bacterium. RNAcentral's name for it is "partial 16S ribosomal RNA". It matches the Rfam family "Bacterial small subunit ribosomal RNA", at positions 28 to 506 of the family's 1533-position model. The record is from RNAcentral.